This 492-nucleotide ribosomal RNA is filed under the name uncultured bacterium. Its description in RNAcentral is "partial 16S ribosomal RNA". It matches the Rfam family "Bacterial small subunit ribosomal RNA", at positions 29 to 507 of the family's 1533-position model. The record is from RNAcentral.
AGUGAACGCUGGCGGUAGGCCUAACACAUGCAAGUCGAACGGCAGCACAGUAAGAGCUUGCUCUUACGGGUGGCGAGUGGCGGACGGGUGAGGAAUACAUCGGAAUCUACUUUUUCGUGGGGGAUAACGAAGGGAAACUUACGCUAAUACCGCAUACGACCUACGGGGGAAAGCAGGGGAUCUUUGGACCUUGCGCGAUUGAAGGAGCCGAUGUCGGAUUAGCUAGUUGGCGGGGUAAAGGCCCACCAAGGCGACGAUCCGUAGCUGGUCUGAGAGGAUGAUCAGCCACACUGGAACUGAGACACGGUCCAGACUCCUACGGGAGGCAGCAGUGGGGAAUAUUGGACAAUGGGCGCAAGCCUGAUCCAGCCAUGCCGCGUGGGUGAAGAAGGCCUUCGGGUUGUAAAGCCCUUUUGUUGGGAAAGAAAAGCAGCAGGUUAAUACCCCGCUGUUCUGACGGUACCCAAAGAAUAAGCACCGGCUAACUUCGUG